CCCAUUCCCAUUUCAUUUUCAGAUCUCAAAGUCUCUCUCUCCCCGCCGCGGCUUCCUCUCUGCUUCCUCAGUCUAUCUCUCUCCCUCUCCUUCCUCUCUUCCUCCAAAUCACUCUCUCUAGUCUUCUCUUGUCCUCCUCGUGGAUUCUUUCUUCCAAACAAUGAUUUUCCCUCGCCCCUUUUUGAGACCCGACGAAAAGAGGAAUUGUAAGAGCUUGCGACGAUCACUGCGAUAUCGCUGCAGCAAAGGGAUUUUGAGAUUGUUUAUUGAUUGGAGAAGAUGGCGUUGGGAAAGAAGUGCAAGAGUUGCUUGAAAGCGAAGCGUGGCAGCGGCGGUGCUGUUGCGGCGGAGGCGGAGCCGAUGAUGGAGUUAGGGUUUGUGAAGUACACGCGAGCUUUGGGGAGGAAGAGGAUUGGGAUUUCUAACAAUGGCGAGGAGGCAUCGCCGGCUGAUUUGUAUCCCAAUACUCCAUUGAAGAAGCAGCGGAGUGGGAAGAUGAUUUGGGAAUCGAAACUGCCGCCUCCUCCGCCCUAGAAGCUCUGCCUCAGGAGAUUCUGAUUAAGGUUGUGUGUGGAGUCGAUCACGAUGAUUUGAAGCGGCUUUUCCGUGUAUCGAAAGCGAUUAGAGAAUCGACUCUGGUUGCGAAGCAGUGGCAUUUUGCUUCUUAGUCAAUGAUGUAUCUUACCUCAUGAAUAUUGAAAAACCGUCCUGGAGAGAUGGAAACAUGUCAUAUUUUCUA
Molecule: non-coding RNA, 739 nt
Organism: Malus domestica (apple)
Lineage: Eukaryota; Viridiplantae; Streptophyta; Magnoliopsida; Rosales; Rosaceae
Source: RefSeq, a predicted model, not a curated record